Molecule: unclassified non-coding RNA, 834 nt
Filed under: Hevea brasiliensis (rubber tree)
Lineage: Eukaryota; Viridiplantae; Streptophyta; Magnoliopsida; Malpighiales; Euphorbiaceae
Source: RNAcentral
ACCAGGAUUACCAAAUAUUGUCUUAUAUUUGCCUCAUUAACUAUUUUAUUUUUCAUUUUAAAAUAUGAGUUUAUAAAAAAAAAUAGUAAGAAACCUAACAUAAUGUUCUUUCUUACAAAUAUUGUUAAUGAAAUAUUUGAAUUGAUAUUUUGAUUUAUUUUGUGCUAUACGAUUGCUUUUUCACGUACGAGUUUCCAUAGCAGCGGGUUUAUAGUAGGAAUCGACUAUUUGGAUGCUCUAAUUAGUCAUAUUCAAGAUGAUGCCUCAUUUUGCAUGUUAUUUGUAGAUAAUAUUGUCUUAGUAGAUGAAACUAGUAAAUGAGUUAAUCAAAAGUCGCAGUUGCGGAGAAAGGCUUUUGAAAGUAAGGGUUUUAGACGAGGAUGUAACCCAUAGGAUGUCAAUAAAAUGGAUGAGUACCAUAGGUGUGUUAUCCAAUCAUAAGAUCGCUAACAAAGUGAAAGGUAACUUUUAUACGAUUGUAGCCAGACCAGUCAUGUUGGAAGUGAAUGUUGAGCAUCUAAGGCAACAACAUACCCGCAAAGUAAGUAUGGAAGAAAUGAAGAUGUUAAGAUGUAUGUUUGGUAACAUAAUAAUGAAUAAAAUUAGAAAUGACCACAUCCAUCAAAUAAUGCAUGUAGCAUAUAUUAGAGAUAAAAUGAGAGAUAGUCUAUUAAGAUGGUGUAGUCUAUGUCUAACGUAGAGAAUCAAAUGAUCCAGUAUGGAAAUUUAACGAGUAAAGGGAAGGGAGAGACCUAAGAUAACAUAAAGAGCAGUAGUACUAAAGCAUUUAAGAGCGUUAGUUAUUGAAGCGGACUUAGUGUCUAACAGAGCUGA